UACCGCGACAAGAACUGUCAAAGUGAACUUGUGAAAUUGUCGGCCGUUGAAAACAAGAGUUUAUUUUAUUUAUUUUACAAUGGAUAACCGUUUGUACGAAUCUAAGUUACCAAACCAUAAAAUAUUUAAAGAUCUAAAGGAGUGUAUGAGUGAAAAUCCUAGUAGAAAGUUGCGUAAUUUGAUCGAAUUGAAGGAUGAUGUGUUUUAUGUUUGGAACACGAAAGAAAAUUGUUUAUUGAGUUUGAAUUUGAAGCAUUUGGAAGAACAUGGAGAUGAGACGCCGUAUCAGAAACUACAUUUCCUAUUCCCACCUGCGUUCGAGGUGGAGAGGAUCAUGAGCAGUGGCUGUGGAAGUCGUAUCUGCGUCUGGGGAUCCCGAGGUGUCACCAUUGCUGAACUGCCAUCGAGGUGGGGCCGAGGUGGACUCUUCGAUUCCGGCAACCAGACUGUACUGUGCAAGAGUUACUCCUUGGACGAAAGAUUCCUGUACUGCCAGGGUGAGGUACGCCGUGUCCAUUGGCACCCUGCGUCACUAUCACACGUGUUCGUAUUGGGAUCGGAUAACACUAUCAGACUCUACAACAUAGCCCUGAAAAAAGGUCCCAAAUUAGUCCAAAGUUUCACCAUUGGCAUCAAACCAUCAAGCCAGUUAGCUGGUAGGAACAUACUGGACAGUCUUGGAGACACUGCGGUGGACUUCACUCCUAUACCUGAUAGCGAAACACUACUGAUUCUGAGGGGGAAUGGAGACGUCUAUAUGAUGCAGUGUGAAUUGGAACGUAAGAGUCCCCUACAACCGAAAUUGUCGGGUCCGCUCGCGAUGUAUCCGCCGGCAGAUGACAACUAUGGCUCCGAGUCGUGCUCCAUCAUCGCUCUGGGAGGAGGAGACACCCCUCCCCUUGUGGUAGUUGCCACCUGCUCAGCUGCCUUGUACCAUUGUCUGCUGUUGCCUAAUCCUUCGGAGAAAGAAGACGGCGACACUCACGCCCUCUACGUGGUGGAAGCAGUGGAAUUGAACGUCAACCUGAGCCCUGAUGAUGAACAGUCCUACUCAUACCCUGUCGACUUGUAUCCUUGCACAAACAACACGUACGCGUGCGUCCACGCGGGCGGGGUGCACGCCAUCACACUGCCCAUACUGGGACAUCUCGUCGACUACGCACUGGCUGAUGACACGGAGAGCGAGUGCGUGCUGGGCGCGCUGUGCGGGCGCGGCGCGGGCGCGCGGCAUGUGCUGCAGGGCGCGGGCGCGGCCGGCCUGGCGCUCACUGCGCCGCCGCUGCAGCGGGUACUGCUACUCGUCGAGCCCGCCACCUUACUGCCCAGAACAUUGGAACCCUUCGAUCUUGAAGAACAGCUGUACAAAGAGUUGCAGCUCAAGAACCCGACACUGGAACAGGAUGACAUCAACAAUAUACUGAAAGAGAGACAGAAGCUGUCGUUCACAUCCAUCAUCCAAGAGAUCCUCACGAGGGAUGUGUCCCAGCCCAUCCUUCAGAUCAGUAAGAAAGAGGAGCCCAGUCCGAAACAAUGCCUAGAAUUCGUAAGUCAGGCGACUGUAAAGCUCCGCGGCGAGUACAUGUCCCGCCAGCAGAGAGCGUGCGACGCCAUCGCCCGCAAGCUGCAAGCGUUGCGCUCGCUCAGCGACCAGCACCGGGACUGGCUGCGGGACUUACAGAAGGAAAUAGAUGAAGUACAGCUUCAGUCGACGGUCCUCAAGGAAAAGUGCAUGUUGGCUGAGAAACAUCAGGAUGAUCUGAAAUACAGAUGCAGCGCCGUUGUCCGCGCGGGCCGUGCGGCGGCCGGGCCGUGUCCGGCCGAGCGCGCGCUGCUCGCGGAGCUGCAGCAACACGCGCGCCGCGGGGACACGCUGCGGGGACACGUCGCGCAACUCAAGGCACACGCCGCCUACAGGGCGCAGGAGGUACUUCUAUAUCUAUAAUUAUCACGCGCGCCGCGGGGACACGCUGCGGGGACACGUCGCGCAACUCAAGGCACACGCCGCCUACAGGGCGCAGGAGGUACUUCUAUAUCUAUAAUUAUCACGCGCGCCGCGGGGACACGCUGCGGGGACACGUCGCGCAACUCAAGGCACACGCCGCCUACAGGGCGCAGGAGGUACUUCUAUAUCUAUAAUUAUCACGCGCGCCGCGGGGACACGCUGCGGGGACACGUCGCGCAACUCAAGGCACACGCCGCCUACAGGGCGCAGGAGGUACUUCUAUAUCUAUAAUUAUCACGCGCGCCGCGGGGACACGCUGCGGGGACACGUCGCGCAACUCAAGGCACACGCCGCCUACAGGGCGCAGGAGGUACUUCUAUAUCUAUAAUUAUCACGCGCGCCGCGGGGACACGCUGCGGGGACACGUCGCGCAACUCAAGGCACACGCCGCCUACAGGGCGCAGGAGGUACUUCUAUAUCUAUAAUUAUCACGCGCGCCGCGGGGACACGCUGCGGGGACACGUCGCGCAACUCAAGGCACACGCCGCCUACAGGGCGCAGGAGGUACUUCUAUAUCUAUAAUUAUCACGCGCGCCGCGGGGACACGCUGCGGGGACACGUCGCGCAACUCAAGGCACACGCCGCCUACAGGGCGCAGGAGGUACUUCUAUAUCUAUAAUUAUCACGCGCGCCGCGGGGACACGCUGCGGGGACACGUCGCGCAACUCAAGGCACACGCCGCCUACAGGGCGCAGGAGGUACUUCUAUAUCUAUAAUUAUCACGCGCGCCGCGGGGACACGCUGCGGGGACACGUCGCGCAACUCAAGGCACACGCCGCCUACAGGGCGCAGGAGGUACUUCUAUAUCUAUAAUUAUCACGCGCGCCGCGGGGACACGCUGCGGGGACACGUCGCGCAACUCAAGGCACACGCCGCCUACAGGGCGCAGGAGAUGGAGAAAUGGGAGUCGGAGUAUAAGAAGAAGGACAUAGCUCUGGGUCAAUCACACAGCAAUACCAUCUCCAGUAUUCUACAA
Spodoptera litura is the source of this 2978-nucleotide non-coding RNA. The record is from RefSeq and is a predicted model, not a curated record. NCBI's taxonomy places the organism in Eukaryota, Metazoa, Arthropoda, Insecta, Lepidoptera, Noctuidae.